UGGGGAAUCUUAGACAAUGGGGGAAACCCUGAUCUAGCCAUGCCGCGUGAGCGAUGAAGGCCUUAGGGUUGUAAAGCUCUUUCAGAUGGGAAGAUAAUGACGGUACCAUCAGAAGAAGCCCCGGCUAACUCCGUGCCAGCAGCCGCGGUAAUACGGAGGGGGCUAGCGUUGUUCGGAAUUACUGGGCGUAAAGCGCGCGUAGGCGGACUGGAAAGUUGGGGGUGAAAUCCCAGGGCUCAACCCUGGAACUGCCUUCAAAACUCCCAGUCUGGAGUUCGAGAGAGGUGAGUGGAAUUCCGAGUGUAGAGGUGAAAUUCGUAGAUAUUCGGAGGAACACCAGUGGCGAAGGCGGCUCACUGGCUCGAUACUGACGCUGAGGUGCGAAAGCGUGGGGAGCAAACA
Molecule: ribosomal RNA, 402 nt
Filed under: uncultured prokaryote
Description: bacterial SSU rRNA
Rfam family: Bacterial small subunit ribosomal RNA
Source: RNAcentral